RNAcentral lists this small nuclear RNA (20 nucleotides) under Arabidopsis thaliana (thale cress). RNAcentral describes it as "snRNA_06879". Lineage: Eukaryota; Viridiplantae; Streptophyta; Magnoliopsida; Brassicales; Brassicaceae. The record is from RNAcentral.
AGUAAUUACAGUGACAUUUU